CAAAAGGAGGCAGGUUUGGGUCAACCUGACAGCUGGUCAAUCCAAUGAAGUAACCUUGGUAGAAGAGAGGAAAGGGAGCUGCGAUCCCCACCCCCAUUAAAUCGUCCAAUCAAAUCGUUCAGUGAGCUAGCGCCGGCUGCCAAUCAACAAAGAAGCACCAAAGUGAUGAAGGACCUGUCAAAAGAAAAUAACUACUAAGGAUACGUUCCAGUUUACAUGCCUUUUAUUUUCUAUUUUUCACAUUUCUGAGAUUCUCCAACUACUUCAAAUCAUUGAUGAAAUCACAUGUUAGUUUGAAUGUUGCCUUCUGCCAGCUUUAACUCCUUACUGAGAAUGUGGAAAACGGGGCACCUAGUUGGCUCAGUUGGAAGCGCAAGUGAAUCUUGAUCUUGGGGUCAUGAGUUUGAGCCCCAAGUUGGAGGAAGAGACUACUAAAAAAAUAAAGAAAAACUUUUUUUUUGAAUGUAGAAAAAAGGACGCCUAAAAAUGGCACUACAAUCAAUGGUGUGCUGGUGAAUGUUUAACAACCACGAAGUGUUUGCAGGUUUCCAUGCUGUGAGUACUCUCAUCACAUCCACUGUCACGCUACUGAGUGAGGAGUUGGGAAGAAAUGUCAGUAUACUGUCAGAGGGUGCUAUUUGUUUCCCCAGUUUGGAUAUAAUAUUUUAUAGAAUGCUUUUUUGUUGCCUCUGAAUAAAAUAUAAAUUUCCAUUUAGU
This is a long non-coding RNA of Suricata suricatta (meerkat), 717 nucleotides long. RefSeq lists it as uncharacterized. NCBI's taxonomy places the organism in Eukaryota, Metazoa, Chordata, Mammalia, Carnivora, Herpestidae. The transcript is spliced from 4 exons. The record is from RefSeq and is a predicted model, not a curated record.